RNAcentral lists this ribosomal RNA (497 nucleotides) under uncultured bacterium. RNAcentral's name for it is "partial 16S ribosomal RNA". It matches the Rfam family "Bacterial small subunit ribosomal RNA", at positions 28 to 507 of the family's 1533-position model. The record is from RNAcentral.
GAUGAACGCUGGCGGCGUGCCUAAUACAUGCAAGUCGAGCGGACAGACAAUAAGCUUGUGCUUCUAACGUUAGCGGCGGGCGGGUGAGUGACGCGUGGAUAACCUACUUCUAUGACUGGGGGGACUUCGGAGAGCCAGUGCUGCUAAUAGAGAAUAUGUUGAACCGGUUGAAUCAGUGGUGAAUGGGGGUUUUCGUGUUUGUUUUAGCUGGUUCCGGGCCGGAUUGUCUGGUUGGUAAGGGAACGGCCUACCAAGGCGACGAAGCGUAGCCGACCUGAGAGGAUGAUCGGCCACACUGGAACUGAGACACGGUCCAGACUCCUACGGGAGGCAGCAGUAGGGAAUAUUCGGCAAUGGGCGAAAGCCUGACGGAGCAACGCCGCGUGAGUGAUGAAGGUCUUCGGGUCGUAAAACUCUGUUGUUGGGGAAGAACAAAUGUGUAAGUAACUAUGGACGUCUUGACGGUACCUAAUCAAAAAGCAACGGCUAACUACGUG